RNAcentral lists this ribosomal RNA (253 nucleotides) under uncultured bacterium. RNAcentral's name for it is "partial 16S ribosomal RNA". It matches the Rfam family "Bacterial small subunit ribosomal RNA", at positions 524 to 776 of the family's 1533-position model. The record is from RNAcentral.
UACGUAGGGUGCAAGCGUUAAUCGGAAUUACUGGGCGUAAAGCGUGCGCAGGCGGUUCGCUAAGACCGAUGCGAAAUCCCCGGGCUUAACCUGGGAACUGCAUUGGUGACUGGCGGGCUAGAGUAUGGCAGAGGGGGGUAGAAUUCCACGUGUAGCAGUGAAAUGCGUAGAGAUGUGGAGGAAUACCGAUGGCGAAGGCAGCCCCCUGGGCCAAUACUGACGCUCAUGCACGAAAGCGUGGGGAGCAAACAGG